RNAcentral lists this ribosomal RNA (963 nucleotides) under Corythucha sp. CW-2009. Its description in RNAcentral is "SSU rRNA". It matches the Rfam family "Eukaryotic small subunit ribosomal RNA", at positions 425 to 1293 of the family's 1831-position model. Lineage: Eukaryota; Metazoa; Arthropoda; Insecta; Hemiptera; Tingidae. The record is from RNAcentral.
GCAGCAGGCACGCAAAUUACCCACUCCCGGCACGGGGAGGUAGUGACAAAAAAUAACGAUGCGGGACUCUUUUGAGGCCCCGUAAUCGGAAUGAGUACACUUUAAAUCCUUUAACGAUAAUCAAUUAGAGGGCAAGUCUGGUGCCAGCAGCCGCGGUAAUUCCAGCUCUAAUAGCGUAUAUUAAAGUUGUUGCGGUUAAAAAGCUCGUAGUUGGUUCUGCGUGCCACGCUGUCGGUUCGCCGCCUGACGGUGUAACUGGCAUGUCGUGGCAUGUCCUGUCGGUGGCGAACUGGGGCCACAUUCGUUUUCCCCAUUCGGGCUUGUCUCGGGUGUGUGGAGCGGUGUGGUCACUUGGUUCGCCGGCUCUAUCCUGCCGCGGUGCUUUUAACCAAGUGUCGAGGUAGGCCGACACGUUUACUUUGAACAAAUUAGAGUGCUCAAAGCAGGCUUAAAUCUCUGCCUGAAUAGUGGUGCAUGGAAUAAUGGAACAGGACCUUGGUUCUAUUCUGUUGGUCUCCGGAACACAAGGUAAUGAUCAAUGUGGACAGGCGGGGGCAUUCGUAUUGCGACGUAGAGGUGAAAUUCUUGGAUCGUCGCAAGACGCACUAGAGCGAAAGCAUUUGCCAAGUAUGUCUUAAUUGAUCAAGAACGAAAGUUAGAGGUUCGAAGGCGAUCAGAUACCGCCCUAGUUCUAACCAUAAACGAUGCCAGCCAGCGAUCCGCCGACGUUCCUCCGAUGACUCGGCGGGGAGCUUCUUCCCGGGAAACCAAAGCUUUUGGGUUCCGGGGGAAGUAUGGUUGCAAAGCUGAAACUUAAAGGAAUUGACGGAAGGGCACCACCAGGAGUGGAGCCUGCGGCUUAAUUUGACUCAACACGGGAAACCUCACCAGGUCAGGACAUUGGAAGGAUUGACAGAUUGAUAGCUCUUUCUUGAUUCAGUGGGUAGUGGUGCAUGGCCGUUC